Molecule: ribosomal RNA, 472 nt
Filed under: uncultured bacterium
Lineage: Bacteria
Description: bacterial SSU rRNA
Rfam family: Bacterial small subunit ribosomal RNA
Source: RNAcentral
GACGAACGCUGGCGGCGUGCUUAACACAUGCAAGUCGAUCGGUAACAGGUGUAGCAAUACAUGCUGACGAGAGGCGGACGGGUGAGUAAUGCUUGGGAAUCUGCCUAUUAGUGGGGGACAACCCGGGGAAACUCGGGCUAAUACCGCAUACGCUCUACGGAGGAAAGCCGGGGACCGCAAGGCCUGGCGCUAAUAGAUGAGCCCAAGUCGGAUUAGCUAGUUGGUAGGGUAACGGCCACCAAGGCGACAAUCCGUAGCUGGUCUGAGAGGACGACCAGCCACACCGGAACUGAGACACGGUCCGGACUCCUACGGGAGGCAGCAGUGGGGAAUAUUGGACAAUGGGGGCAACCCUGAUCCAGCGACGCCGCGUGGGUGAAGAAGGCCUGCGGGUUGUAAAGCCCUUUCGGUGGGGAAGAAAUCGCAAGGGUGAACAGCCUUUGUGGCUGACGGUACCGGGAGAAGAAGCACC